CUGAGCCUUUCGAGAGGGAGGUGAUCGCCGCGCAGAAGUCAGCAAAGGACGUAGUAGGCGCAACUGUCGGCGCUGAAGGUC
Molecule: non-coding RNA, 81 nt
Filed under: Solimonas aquatica
Lineage: Bacteria; Pseudomonadati; Pseudomonadota; Gammaproteobacteria; Nevskiales; Nevskiaceae
Source: RNAcentral